GACGUAGGGUGCAAGCGUUGUCCGGAUUUAUUGGGCGUAAAGAGCUCAUAGGCGGCUUGUUGCGUCGACUGUGAAAACCCGCGGCUUAACCGCGGGCUUGCAGUUGAUACGGGCAGGCUAGAGUUCGGUAGGGGAGACUGGAAUUCCUGGUGUAGCGGUGAAAUGCGCAGAUAUCAGGAGGAACACCGGUGGCGAAGGCGGGUCUCUGGGCCGAUACUGACGCUGAGGAGCGAAAGCGUGGGGAGCGAACAGG
This 253-nucleotide ribosomal RNA is filed under the name uncultured bacterium. Its description in RNAcentral is "partial 16S ribosomal RNA". It matches the Rfam family "Bacterial small subunit ribosomal RNA", at positions 524 to 776 of the family's 1533-position model. The record is from RNAcentral.